RNAcentral lists this long non-coding RNA (373 nucleotides) under Betta splendens (Siamese fighting fish). RNAcentral's name for it is "lncRNA (ENSBSLG00000000762.1)". Lineage: Eukaryota; Metazoa; Chordata; Actinopteri; Anabantiformes; Osphronemidae. The record is from RNAcentral.
CUGCUGUGGCAUCUAAAUUACUUGUGUAUCAAGACUGCGUUUUUUUUUACAAGACAGACACUGACUUUUUAAGGUAUUUUAAGAACCCCACGUGGUGAAAACGAAACCUAUGGAAUCCUUGCGUGGCAUAGGCGCAAGGAUUAUCUUCAACUUGACCUCAGCCAGGAACUGGAAGUCCAGACAUUCUCAAUACACUGUCUAUCACAGCCACAGGUGAAAACUCUAAAAGGGAAAUCACAGACUAUGCUGCAUACAAAGCAUCUGGCUGGCAAAGGAUGGCAAAGGAUCAGCUACUGUAGAUUACACACUGCAGACGAGGAGUAAAACUGCAAUAGUUUGUGAAACAGUCAAUGUCAUGUUUAUCCAAAGGUUU